UCUUCAGGUCCUGGGAGACAAUGCCAUUGAUCAUGGAACUGCAAUCCUUGAUGAUUUUCCUAAUGUUCUUCCCAGCAUGUAAGAGAAAAAUCCUGUAGACAAUACAUCGCUUUGUUGUGUCAUUCCAUGUCAUUUCAUGUUUCAUUUUUCUUCUCCAUAUACAGACAUUUCCUCUCAGAUCACUCUUACUGAGUCUGGAGGUGGCGUGAAAAGACCAGGAGAGACAUUGCGACUGACCUGUACGGUGACUGGGUUUUCUUUAACAAGCUAUGGCGUACAGUGGAUCCGUCAGCCACUCGGAAAGGGACUGGAAUGGGCUGGUGGUAUCUGGAGUGGUGGAAGCACUGAAUAUAGCAGUGCCCUCCAAAACCGGAUCACCAUCUCAAGAGACACCUCAAAAAACCAGGUGUUCCUGCAACUGACUAGCCUGAAGCCUGAAGACUCGGCCAUGUAUUACUGUUCAAGGCACACAG
RNAcentral lists this long non-coding RNA (473 nucleotides) under Podarcis lilfordi (Lilford's wall lizard). The record is from RNAcentral. Lineage: Eukaryota; Metazoa; Chordata; Lepidosauria; Squamata; Lacertidae.